CAAUAUACUAAAUCAUUUUGGUGUUCAAUGCUAUACCCUCUAAAAAAUGGAACGUCAUUUAUUUGAAGACACAAUUCUCUGUAUGUGCACUUGCCAUGACUUUAUUUUUGAAUAUUUCUGUGUGCAUGUGGUAGGGAAAACAUUGUUGUAUACUACAAAUUCAGUGUUUUGCUUAUAGGUUGGAGACUACAUGAGAUUUUGACAGAUGGCGGGAAACCCUCAUCAACUGGAGAUCAGCCGGUAGAGGAAUGUCUGCGACUAAGCCGAGGGCCACUGCAUAAGGGUUAUUGAUGGCAAAACAGGUUGGAGACUACAUGAGAUUUUGACAGAUGGCGGGAAACCCUCAUCAACUGGAGAUCAGCCGGUAAAAAGGUGGCCUUAAAACAGUGACCGUUGAUUCGCGUCGAGUUCUUUCUUACAUACUGCAUGACCUAUCUUUUUUAUUGUUUAAAUCCAUUCGGCUUGGCAUGCUCUUUAAGAAAAGGUAUGGGUAUGGGGGUGUCUACGCGCAAAAGUUUGACUUUAUUUUUCGUUGAAGUUGUUGAUUUUACAUUGAAUUUGUUAAGGAAAUCUUUUGGUAUAUUGUAACCUAAACUAACUUUAGGUAAAAAUGAAAUAUCAUCUGCAAGUGCAAAAUAUGACUGGUAAAGCUGAUUUUUGGUCAUUUCUUAGCAAAAGAGAAGAUUAUAAGUGCAUUAAAUGCAUGAAUUCAGAUGAUUUGACCCAAAAUAGUUGUUUUUCAAGUUGACCCUCCACCCUUAUAUAGCCGAAUAAGGGCUAAAUUGCUUUCCAACUUAAGUUCAAAGGCAUAUUGGUUGACCGUGUAGCAUUAAUGUACUACAUGAUGUCAGAAUUCAACGCCUGGGUCUCCGUGAUCCAGUAACGCAACAAUAGCUUGUGCGUAAAGCAUUAACAUUCAAACAGAGCCCCAUUUCACCGAUAUGGAAUGGCGGACAUUUUUACA
Dreissena polymorpha is the source of this 964-nucleotide long non-coding RNA. RefSeq lists it as uncharacterized. Lineage: Eukaryota; Metazoa; Mollusca; Bivalvia; Myida; Dreissenidae. The record is from RefSeq and is a predicted model, not a curated record. The transcript is spliced from 3 exons.